AACCUGCGGAAGGAUCAUUAAUGAAAUUCUGAGUAGGCUCUGCCUCUCACCCUUCAUAUCCAUAAACACCUGUGCACAGUCGGACCCUUGAGUCUUUCGGGACUCCUGGUGUCUUGACGAUCUUAUCAAACAACAAUGUAACCAAUGUAAUCAUUAUUAUAACAUAAUAAAACUUUUAACAACGGAUCUCUUGGCUCUCGCAUCGAUGAAGAACGCAGCGAAAUGCGAUAAGUAAUGUGAAUUGCAGAAUUCAGUGAAUCAUCGAAUCUUUGAACGCACCUUGCACUCUUUGGUAUUCCGAAGAGUAUGCCUGUUUGAGUGUCAUGAAAUCUUCAACCAUUCUGUUGGGUGUUUACGCCUGGCGGUUUGGAUUGGACUUGGGUGUUUGUCGGACAAGUGAUUGUCUGACUCACCUUAAAAGGAUCAGUGGAUCUAUUGUCUUGGACUUUUGCAUUGCAAUUGGUUUGACUUGGCGUAAUAAGUAUUUCGCUAAAGGACAGUGCUUCGGUGCUGGCCAUUGCUUUUCAACCGGACUUUGGAAAUCGCUUUCUAACCCUAAUUUUAUUUGACAUCUGGCCUCAAAUCAGUAGGACUACCCGCUGAACUUAA
This 609-nucleotide ribosomal RNA is filed under the name Goffeauzyma gilvescens. RNAcentral's name for it is "eukaryotic LSU rRNA". The stretch from base 171 to 324 matches the Rfam family "5.8S ribosomal RNA". Lineage: Eukaryota; Fungi; Basidiomycota; Tremellomycetes; Filobasidiales; Filobasidiaceae. The record is from RNAcentral.